CAGCCCCGCGGGAAUACGGAGGGUGCAAGCGUUAUCCGGAUUCACUGGGUUUAAAGGGUGCGUAGGCGGAUCUGUAAGUCAGUGGUGAAAUCUCCAGGCUUAACCUGGAAACUGCCGUUGAUACUAUAGGUCUUGAAUUUUGUGGAGGUUAGCGGAAUAUGUCAUGUAGCGGUGAAAUGCAUAGAUAUGACAUAGAACACCAAUUGCGAAGGCAGCUGGCUACACAACUAUUGACGCUGAGGCACGAAAGCGUGGGGAUCAAACAGGAUUAGAUACCCCCGUAGUCCCUGUCUCUUAUACA
RNAcentral lists this ribosomal RNA (301 nucleotides) under uncultured bacterium. RNAcentral describes it as "partial 16S ribosomal RNA". It matches the Rfam family "Bacterial small subunit ribosomal RNA", at positions 509 to 808 of the family's 1533-position model. The record is from RNAcentral.